This 236-nucleotide ribosomal RNA is filed under the name uncultured Glomus. Its description in RNAcentral is "partial 18S ribosomal RNA". The stretch from base 40 to 236 matches the Rfam family "Eukaryotic small subunit ribosomal RNA", at positions 686 to 886 of the family's 1831-position model. The record is from RNAcentral. Lineage: Eukaryota; Fungi; Glomeromycota; Glomeromycetes; Glomerales; Glomeraceae.
GGGUUAGUAGGUUGGUCAUGCCUCUGGUAUGUACUGGUCUCACUGAUUCCUCCUUCCUGAUGAACCGUAAUGCCAUUAAUUUGGUGUUGCGGGGAAUUUGGACUGUUACUUUGAAAAUUAGAGUGUUUAAAGCAGGCUAACGCUUGAAUACAUUAGCAUGGAAUAAUGAAAUAGGACGUUCGAUCCUAUUUUGUUGGUUUCUAGGAUUGACGUAAUGAUUAAUAGGGAUAGUUGGG